Molecule: ribosomal RNA, 813 nt
Filed under: Triticum aestivum (bread wheat)
Lineage: Eukaryota; Viridiplantae; Streptophyta; Magnoliopsida; Poales; Poaceae
Description: partial small subunit ribosomal RNA
Source: RNAcentral
GUAAUUAUAAUGGGUGCGCUCAUCCAAAAACAUUGUAAGGGCAUGUACAAAAGUCCCUACUGUUUCAGGUAUUCAACCCGCAGUCCUAUUUUAAGUGGCUCUCGAAGAAAACGUUUCGUUCUUACAGAAAAGACCCUAUGCUUUUGAGUAUUCAACCCGCUGUCCUUUUUAGGUGGCUAAAUUCAGAUACAACGAGCUUUGCAACUGCACUUCAAUUAAAUUGUCCCACCUCGCUGAUAUACAUAUAUUCUCACCAAUUUAUAUGUGUACGAGAGCUGCCAUGAGAAUCAACAAGCUACAUUAGAAAUCAAAACAAGCAGAGAAAGGGAACGGAAGGAAUCGCCAAAGCCUGAAGGAGCGAAGAAAAUGGAACAGAGUCCACCGAGCGAACACCACCACCGGCGCCCUCGCUCGACGGAGGACACGCGAUUUCCAAAAAGUGGGAGCAGAGAAGGCCGAGUCGAGGCGGCUGGGCUGACUGACACAGCAGGUAGGCCGCGGCUGGACGAGGCGCGCCCUGGCCUCCUCGCAAGCUGCGAGCAAAAGAAACAGCGGGGUUGAGGCAGGGCCUUACCUUGAUCUGGCGCCACAGUCCCUACGAUGGCAUGUGGAGGACAGGAGGAGGGAAGGGAUGGAUCCGAGCCUGUUGGUCGGGGCGAGGCCUGCUGUGGCCAGAUCCGGAGCAUGGGGCCGCAACUGAGCUCCAAAACGCAAUACAUCCUCUCGUGGAGUUCCGCACCGACAGAGAAGAGGGGGUUGAUGUUGCUGAUAGAGAAGAAGAGAAGGGACAGCGUCAGGUGGAUGGAGAAGAAG